AGCGAACGCUGGCGGCAGGCCUAACACAUGCAAGUCGAACGGUAGCACAGAGAGCUUGCUCUCGGGUGACGAGUGGCGGACGGGUGAGUAAUGUCUGGGAAACUGCCCGAUGGAGGGGGAUAACUACUGGAAACGGUAGCUAAUACCGCAUAACGUCGCAAGACCAAAGUGGGGGACCUUCGGGCCUCACACCAUCGGAUGUGCCCAGAUGGGAUUAGCUAGUAGGUGGGGUAAUGGCUCACCUAGGCGACGAUCCCUAGCUGGUCUGAGAGGAUGACCAGCCACACUGGAACUGAGACACGGUCCAGACUGCUACGGGAGGCAGCAGUGGGGAAGAUUGCACAAUGGGCGCAAGCCUGAUGCAGCCAUGCCGCGUGUAUGAAGAAGGCCUUCGGGUUGUAAAGUACUUUCAGCGGGGAGGAAGGCGGUGAAGUUAAUAACUUCACCGAUUGACGUUACCCGCAGAAGAAGCACCGGCUAACUCCGUGCCAGCCGCCGCCGCUG
RNAcentral lists this ribosomal RNA (504 nucleotides) under uncultured bacterium. RNAcentral describes it as "partial 16S ribosomal RNA". It matches the Rfam family "Bacterial small subunit ribosomal RNA", at positions 29 to 523 of the family's 1533-position model. The record is from RNAcentral.